This 232-nucleotide long non-coding RNA is filed under the name Solanum tuberosum (potato). Its description in RNAcentral is "long non-coding RNA (STUB_LNC003458)". The record is from RNAcentral. Lineage: Eukaryota; Viridiplantae; Streptophyta; Magnoliopsida; Solanales; Solanaceae.
GUAGGAAAGAUCUUGGAAUAAUCUUUCCAACGCCGCCGAGUUUACUCAAUUUCGAGUUCGUAUGAGUGAGAUAUCCCCAUUUGAAGUUGGGCUAUUCAAAUAAGGAAAGUCUAAUCCGGAUUUUAAAAGGCAUUAUGGUCUUUUCCAUACCCCAUGACUUAAUUUCGUUUUUUGGUAAUCAAAGUGGGGUCUAAACUGAUAGGAUUCAGUUUACGCUUUUACAAUAUUGAGU